CCUACGGGAGGCAGCAGUGGGGAAUAUUGCACAAUGGGGGAAACCCUGAUGCAGCGACGCCGCGUGAGUGAAGAAGUAUUUCGGUAUGUAAAGCUCUAUCAGCAGGGAAGAAAAUGACGGUACCUGAGCAAGAAGCCCCGGCUAACUACGUGCCAGAAGCCUCGGUAAUACGUAGGGGGCAAGCGUAAUCCGGAUUUACUGGGUGUAAAGGGAGCGUAGACGGGAGAAGAAGUCUGGAGGGAAAUGCCGGGGCUGAACCCGGGAACUGCUUUGGAAACUGUGCAGCUGGAAUGCAGACGCGGUAAGUGGAAUGUGUGGUGUAGCGGUGAAAUGAGUAGAUAUGAGGAGGAACACCGGUGGCGAAGGCGGCUCACUGAACUGUAACUGACGCUGAGGCUCGAAAGCGUGGGGAGCAAACAGGAUUAGAUACCCCUGUAGUC
RNAcentral lists this ribosomal RNA (440 nucleotides) under uncultured bacterium. RNAcentral's name for it is "partial 16S ribosomal RNA". It matches the Rfam family "Bacterial small subunit ribosomal RNA", at positions 338 to 795 of the family's 1533-position model. The record is from RNAcentral.